CCCACAAUCUAGCCCUAAUAUUAACCUCUUACCACCCCCCCCCCCCCAAAAAAAAUAUUUUUACUUAUUAGUAAAGACGAUUAAAAACUAACUCAGAGCUACAUUUUCGUACCGCAAGGGAGAGAUGAAAAAAUGAAAUACCACAAGCACGAAAAAGUAGAGGUUAAUCCUCGUACCUUUUGCAUCAUGGCUUAACUAGUCAAAUCAAGCAAAAAGAGUUUAAGUUUGACCCCCCGAAACUAAGUGAGCUACUUCAGAGCAGCAUUACGAGCAAACCCGUCUCUGUUGCAAAAGAGUGGGAAGACUCUCAAGUAGAGGUGACACGCCUAUCGAACUUAGAAAUAGCUGGUUAUUCGAGAAAAGAAUUUUAGUUCACCCUAAUGUUAACGUAAUACCUAAAAAUACAAUCUUUGACCUUAGAGCUAUUCAAAUAAGGUACAGCCUAUUUGAAACAGGAUACAGCCUCUACCCAUGGGUAAUAAUAUAAAGUAAUUUCCAAGUUGGCCCAAAAGCAGCCACCUUUUAAAAAGCGUCACAGCUUAAUAACCUUAAACUAUAAUAUCCUAAUACACAAAAAACCCUUUAAUAGUAUCGAAUUCUUCUGUAUUGAUACAGAAUUAUUUAUGUUAAGACUAGUAGCAAGAAGCAACCUUCUCUUUAAUGUAAGUGUAAAAGAACUUCCUCUAAUAUUAACAUAUGAACAAAAUGUAGUAACUCAACGAGAAAACCCUACCCAAGCCUCUGUUAACCUUACACAAGAACAUUCCAAGAAAGAUUACAAGAGAAAGAAGGAACUCAGCAAACUACGAUUCCGCCUGUUUACCAAAAACAUCGCCUCUUGAAAAUAUAAGAGGUCCUGUCUGCCCAGUGACUCUGUUCAACGGCCGCGGUAUUUUGACCGUGCAAAGGUAGCGUAAUCACUUGUUUUCUAAUUAAAGACCUGUAUGAAAGACCACACGAGAAUCACACUGUCUCCUCUCUCCAAUCAGCGAAACUAAUCUCCUCGUGAAAAAGCGAGAAUUACCUUAUAAGACGAAAAGACCCUGUGGAGCUUUAAACAGCCUGACAGCUAAUAUAAUUUUAUUACUUUUUAGCAUGAUUACAAGUUUUUGGUUGGGGUGACCCUGGAGAAUAAACUAACCUCCAAGAUGACAUAUGAAUCUCCUUUAGCAUAAAGCCACAAUUUUACGCAUCAGUAUACUGACAUCAAUUGACCCUUAUUGAUCAACGAACCAAGUUACCCCAGGGAUAACAGCGCAAUCUACUUCAAGAGUACAUAUCGACAAGCAGGUUUACGACCUCGAUGUUGGAUCAGGGUAUCCUGGUGGUGCAGCCGCUACUAAGGGCUCGUUUGUUCAACGAUUAAAACCCUACGUGAUCUGAGUUCAGACCGGAGUAAUCCAGGUCGGUUUCUAUCUAUAAUCAAGGCUUCUUCCAGUACGAAAGGACCGAAGCAGCACAGCCAAUGUAAACACAAGCUGUUAUNNUAUCUAUGACUUAUACUCAAUAGUUUAACUAACCCUACUCCCCUAGAAAGGG
RNAcentral lists this ribosomal RNA (1539 nucleotides) under Adelophryne gutturosa (Guiana Shield frog). Its description in RNAcentral is "partial 16S ribosomal RNA". It matches the Rfam family "Bacterial large subunit ribosomal RNA", at positions 395 to 2925 of the family's 2925-position model. Lineage: Eukaryota; Metazoa; Chordata; Amphibia; Anura; Eleutherodactylidae. The record is from RNAcentral.